Long non-coding RNA from Malaclemys terrapin pileata, 445 nucleotides. RefSeq lists it as uncharacterized. NCBI's taxonomy places the organism in Eukaryota, Metazoa, Chordata, Testudines, Emydidae. The transcript is spliced from 3 exons. The record is from RefSeq and is a predicted model, not a curated record.
UCCCCGGAGCUGGGCUCGGACAGGGACACGUUGGCCAGGGAGGGGUGCUCCCCUGCUAGGAAGAGACCUCGCCGCUCCCCACCCCAGACAGAGACCCCCAUGGAGUGGGAGUCCCUGGAGCCAGCUGGUCGGGAUCCCCUCCCAUGGGGUACCCCCAGCUGGCCGUGCUCCACUUCUGGGUCCCCAUGCUCCGUUUCCCCCGGCCACUGGGCCACCGACCACUGGGACCCAGCUCACGAGUGGCCCAAGGAACCGGCUGGGCCAAGAAAGUUGGCAGAUGAGUCCGCACCAGCCUCAGGAGGGCCCCCCAGGCCAGCCCCACACAGCAGCCAGUCACAGCCAGGCGCGCGCUCGGAUCCCAGGUCCUCUGCCUCCUGCCCUGGAAUAGGCGAUCUGGCACGUCAGCAGCCGAAGAAGCCCACUCGGUCGAAGAGUUGGAAAUCCA